GGGUUGUGAGGUUAAGCGACUAAGCGUACACGGUGGAUGCCCUGGCAGUCAGAGGCGAUGAAGGGCGUGCUAAUCUGCGAUAAGCGCCGGUAAGGUGAUAUGAACCGUUAUAACCGGCGAUACCCGAAUGGGGAAACCCAGUGUGAUUCGUCACACUAUCAUUAACUGAAUCCAUAGGUUAAUGAGGCGAACCGGGGGAACUGAAACAUCUAAGUACCCCGAGGAAAAGAAAUCAACCGAGAUUCCCCCAGUAGCGGCGAGCGAACGGGGAGGAGCCCAGAGCCUGAAUCAGCAUGUGUGUUAGUGGAAGCGUCUGGAAAGGCGCGCGAUACAGGGUGACAGCCCCGUACACAAAAGCGCAUGUGCUGUGAGCUCGAUGAGUAGGGCGGGACACGUGGUAUCCUGUCUGAAUAUGGGGGGACCAUCCUCCAAGGCUAAAUACUCCUGACUGACCGAUAGUGAACCAGUACCGUGAGGGAAAGGCGAAAAGAACCCCGGCGAGGGGAGUGAAAAAGAACCUGAAACCGUGUACGUACAAGCAGUGGGAGCNNNNNNNNNNNNNNNNNNNNNNNNNNNNNNNNNNNNNNNNNNNNNNNNNGGGCGUUAAGUUGCAGGGUAUAGACCCGAAACCCGGUGAUCUAGCCAUGGGCAGGUUGAAGGUUGGGUAACACUAACUGGAGGACCGAACCGACUAAUGUUGAAAAAUUAGCGGAUGACCUGUGGCUGGGGGUGAAAGGCCAAUCAAACCGGGAGAUAGCUGGUUCUCCCCGAAAGCUAUUUAGGUAGCGCCUCGUGAAUUCAUCUCCGGGGGUAGAGCACUGUUUCGGCUAGGGGGCCAUCCCGGCUUACCAACCCGAUGCAAACUGCGAAUACCGGAGAAUGUUAUCACGGGAGACACACGGCGGGUGCUAACGUCCGUCGUGAAGAGGGAAACAACCCAGACCGCCAGCUAAGGUCCCAAAGUCAUGGUUAAGUGGGAAACGAUGUGGGAAGGCCCAGACAGCCAGGAUGUUGGCUUAGAAGCAGCCAUCAUUUAAAGAAAGCGUAAUAGCUCACUGGUCGAGUCGGCCUGCGCGGAAGAUGUAACGGGGCUAAACCAUGCACCGAAGCUGCGGCAGCGACACUGUGUGUUGUUGGGUAGGGGAGCGUUCUGUAAGCCUGUGAAGGUGUGUCGUGAGGCAUGCUGGAGGUAUCAGAAGUGCGAAUGCUGACAUAAGUAACGAUAAAGCGGGUGAAAAGCCCGCUCGCCGGAAGACCAAGGGUUCCUGUCCAACGUUAAUCGGGGCAGGGUGAGUCGACCCCUAAGGCGAGGCCGAAAGGCGUAGUCGAUGGGAAACGGGUUAAUAUUCCCGUACUUGGUGUUACUGCGAAGGGGGGACGGAGAAGGCUAUGUUGGCCGGGCGACGGUUGUCCCGGUUUAAGCGUGUAGGUGUGUGUUCCAGGUAAAUCCGGUUCACUUUAACACUGAGGCGUGACGACGAGGCACUACGGUGCUGAAGCAACAAAUGCCCUGCUUCCAGGAAAAGCCUCUAAGCAUCAGGUAACAUCAAAUCGUACCCCAAACCGACACAGGUGGUCAGGUAGAGAAUACCAAGGCGCUUGAGAGAACUCGGGUGAAGGAACUAGGCAAAAUGGUGCCGUAACUUCGGGAGAAGGCACGCUGACACGUAGGUGAAGUGAUUUACUCAUGGAGCUGAAGUCAGUCGAAGAUACCAGCUGGCUGCAACUGUUUAUUAAAAACACAGCACUGUGCAAACACGAAAGUGGACGUAUACGGUGUGACGCCUGCCCGGUGCCGGAAGGUUAAUUGAUGGGGUCAGCGCAAGCGAAGCUCCUGAUCGAAGCCCCGGUAAACGGCGGCCGUAACUAUAACGGUCCUAAGGUAGCGAAAUUCCUUGUCGGGUAAGUUCCGACCUGCACGAAUGGCGUAAUGAUGGCCAGGCUGUCUCCACCCGAGACUCAGUGAAAUUGAACUCGCUGUGAAGAUGCAGUGUACCCGCGGCAAGACGGAAAGACCCCGUGAACCUUUACUAUAGCUUGACACUGAACAUUGAGCCUUGAUGUGUAGGAUAGGUGGGAGGCUUUGAAGUGUGGACGCCAGUCUGCAUGGAGCCGACCUUGAAAUACCACCCUUUAAUGUUUGAUGUUCUAACGUGGACCCGUUACCCGGGUUGCGGACAGUGUCUGGUGGGUAGUUUGACUGGGGCGGUCUCCUCCUAAAGAGUAACGGAGGAGCACGAAGGUUGGCUAAUCCUGGUCGGACAUCAGGAGGUUAGUGCAAUGGCAUAAGCCAGCUUGACUGCGAGCGUGACGGCGCGAGCAGGUGCGAAAGCAGGUCAUAGUGAUCCGGUGGUUCUGAAUGGAAGGGCCAUCGCUCAACGGAUAAAAGGUACUCCGGGGAUAACAGGCUGAUACCGCCCAAGAGUUCAUAUCGACGGCGGUGUUUGGCACCUCGAUGUCGGCUCAUCACAUCCUGGGGCUGAAGUAGGUCCCAAGGGUAUGGCUGUUCGCCAUUUAAAGUGGUACGCGAGCUGGGUUUAGAACGUCGUGAGACAGUUCGGUCCCUAUCUGCCGUGGGCGCUGGAGAACUGAGGGGGGCUGCUCCUAGUACGAGAGGACCGGAGUGGACGCAUCACUGGUGUUCGGGUUGUCAUGCCAAUGGCACUGCCCGGUAGCUAAAUGCGGAAGAGAUAAGUGCUGAAAGCAUCUAAGCACGAAACUUGCCCCGAGAUGAGUUCUCCCUGAGACUUAAAGUCUCCUGAAGGAACGUUGAAGACGACGACGUUGAUAGGCCGGGUGUGUAAGCGCAGCGAUGCGUUGAGCUAACCGGUACUAAUGAACCGUGAGGCUUAACCUUACAACGCCGAAG
This 2869-nucleotide ribosomal RNA is filed under the name Salmonella enterica subsp. enterica serovar Enteritidis. RNAcentral's name for it is "bacterial LSU rRNA". It matches the Rfam family "Bacterial large subunit ribosomal RNA". The record is from RNAcentral. Lineage: Bacteria; Pseudomonadati; Pseudomonadota; Gammaproteobacteria; Enterobacterales; Enterobacteriaceae.